Non-coding RNA from Rhamnusium bicolor, 76 nucleotides. NCBI's taxonomy places the organism in Eukaryota, Metazoa, Arthropoda, Insecta, Coleoptera, Cerambycidae. The record is from the annotation of a GenBank genome assembly.
GGCAUGGUAGCCGAGUGGGUAAAGUAUUUAUUCGGUAUAGAAGACCGAUGGUUCGAUUCCAUCCUGGAGCAUGUUA